This 505-nucleotide ribosomal RNA is filed under the name uncultured bacterium. RNAcentral's name for it is "partial 16S ribosomal RNA". It matches the Rfam family "Bacterial small subunit ribosomal RNA", at positions 28 to 507 of the family's 1533-position model. The record is from RNAcentral.
GACGAACGCUGGCGGCGUGCCUAAUACAUGCAAGUAGAACGCACAGUUUAUACCGUAGCUUGCUACACCAUAAACUGUGAGUUGCGAACGGGUGAGUAACGCGUAGGUAACCUGCCUGGUAGCGGGGGAUAACUAUUGGAAACGAUCGCUAAUACCGCAUAAUAUUGAUUAUUGCAUGAUAAUUGAUUGAAAGAUGCUAUUGCAUCACUACCAGAUGGACCUGCGUUGUAUUAGCUAGUAGGUGAGGUAACGGCUCACCUAGGCGACGAUACAUAGCCGACCUGAGAGGGUGAUCGGCCACACUGGGACUGAGACACGGCCCAGACUCCUACGGGAGGCAGCAGUAGGGAAUCUUCGGCAAUGGACGAAAGUCUGACCGAGCAACGCCGCGUGAGUGAAGAAGGUUUUCGGAUCGUAAAGCUCUGUUGUAAGAGAAGAACGGGUGUGAGAGUGGAAAGUUCACACUGUGACGGUAUCUUACCAGAAAGGGACGGCUAACUACGUG